CACGUAGGGCGCAAGCGUUGUCCGGAAUUAUUGGGCGUAAAGAGCUCGUAGGCGGUCUGUUGCGUCCGCUGUGAAAACUCGGGGCUUAACCCCGAGCCUGCAGUGGAUACGGGCAGACUAGAGGUAGGUAGGGGAGAAUGGAAUUCCCGGUGUAGCGGUGAAAUGCGCAGAUAUCGGGAGGAAUACCGGUGGCGAAGGCGGUUCUCUGGGCCUUACCUGACGCUGAGGAGCGAAAGCGUGGGGAGCGAACAGG
This 253-nucleotide ribosomal RNA is filed under the name uncultured bacterium. Its description in RNAcentral is "partial 16S ribosomal RNA". It matches the Rfam family "Bacterial small subunit ribosomal RNA", at positions 524 to 776 of the family's 1533-position model. The record is from RNAcentral.